AUUGAACGCUGGCGGCAUGCCUUACACAUGCAAGUCGAACGGCAGCACGGGUGCUUGCACCUGGUGGCGAGUGGCGAACGGGUGAGUAAUACAUCGGAACGUACCUUAUCGUGGGGGAUAACGCAGCGAAAGCUGUGCUAAUACCGCAUACGCCCUGAGGGGGAAAGCGGGGGAUCGCAAGACCUCGCGCGAUUAGAGCGGCCGAUGCCUGAUUAGCUUGUUGGUGGGGUAAAAGCCCACCAAGGCGACGAUCAGUAGCUGGUCUGAGAGGACGAUCAGCAACACUGGGACUGAGACACGGCCCAGACUCCUACGGGAGGCAGCAGUGGGGAAUUUUGGACAAUGGGGGCAACCCUGAUCCAGCAAUGCCGCGUGAGUGAAGAAGGCCUUCGGGUUGUAAAACUCUUUUGUCAGGGAAGAAACACCGGCUCUAACACAGUCCGGGAAUGACGGUACCUGAAGAAUAAGCACCGGCUAACUACGUGCCAGCCGCCGCGGUAA
RNAcentral lists this ribosomal RNA (501 nucleotides) under uncultured bacterium. Its description in RNAcentral is "partial 16S ribosomal RNA". It matches the Rfam family "Bacterial small subunit ribosomal RNA", at positions 29 to 523 of the family's 1533-position model. The record is from RNAcentral.